RNAcentral lists this transfer RNA (73 nucleotides) under Faunimonas pinastri. It matches the Rfam family "tRNA". From Rfam's summary of the family: Transfer RNA (tRNA) molecules are approximately 80 nucleotides in length. Their secondary structure includes four short double-helical elements and three loops (D, anti-codon, and T loops). The record is from Rfam by way of RNAcentral. Lineage: Bacteria; Pseudomonadati; Pseudomonadota; Alphaproteobacteria; Hyphomicrobiales; Afifellaceae.
GGCCCCGUAGCUCAGCGGAUAGAGCAUCAGAUUCCUAAUCUGAGGGUCGCAGGUUCAAGUCCUGCCGGGGUCA